GGAGAAUCCCUUGAGCCCAGCAGUUCAAGGCUACAGUGAGCUAUAAUUGCACCCCUGCACUCCUGCCUGGGUGACAGAG
This 79-nucleotide small nuclear RNA is filed under the name Homo sapiens (human). RNAcentral's name for it is "partial ncRNA". The record is from RNAcentral. Lineage: Eukaryota; Metazoa; Chordata; Mammalia; Primates; Hominidae.